GAUGAACGCUGGCGGCGUGCCUAAUACAUGCAAGUCGAGCGAACAGACGAGGAGCUUUCUCCUCUGACGGUAGCGGCGGACGGGUGAGUAACACGUGGAUAACCUACCUAUAAGGCUGGGAUAACUUCGGGAAACCGGAGCUAAUACCGGAUAAUAUAUUGAACCGCAUGGUGCAAUAGUUAAAGACGGUUUUGCUGUCACUUAUAGAUGGAUCCGCGCCGCAGUAGCUAGGUGGUAAGGUAACGGCGUACCAAGGCGACGAUGCGUAGCCGACCUGAGAGGGUGAUCGGCCACACUGGAACUGAGACACGGCCCAGACUCCUACGGGAGGCAGCAGUAGGGAAUCUUCCGCAAUGGGCGAAAGCCUGACGGAGCAACGCCGCGUGAGUGAUGAAGGUCUUCGGAUCGUAAAACUCUGUUAUUAGGGAAGAACAAAUGUGUAAGUAACUAUGCACGUCUUGACGGUACCUAAUCAGAAAGCCACGGCUAACUCCGUG
This 497-nucleotide ribosomal RNA is filed under the name uncultured bacterium. Its description in RNAcentral is "partial 16S ribosomal RNA". It matches the Rfam family "Bacterial small subunit ribosomal RNA", at positions 28 to 507 of the family's 1533-position model. The record is from RNAcentral.